Molecule: long non-coding RNA, 877 nt
Organism: Mercurialis annua (annual mercury)
Lineage: Eukaryota; Viridiplantae; Streptophyta; Magnoliopsida; Malpighiales; Euphorbiaceae
Exons: 3
Source: RefSeq, a predicted model, not a curated record
UUAUUACGUUUCUUAAACCUAAUUCUCUCUCUUUUAUUUCCUCCUAACCCUAGCUGUCAUCAUUAGCUUUUAAUCUCUGAGAAUCUUGAAACAAAUUUUUAUUCAACUCUUAUGUUCCUUCGUGUUAUAUUUGGAUCCGUCUCGUCCUAGUUGAAGAAGACUCACGCUUCUCCGAUUCUCAUCUUCGUUCUCGCCAAACGACUCGUCGACUUCUCGUGCUUCGGAGUCUACGCAGGGUUAGCUGUUUGCCAAGAUCACGUGGAUAAGCAAGCAGUGAGUUUGUAGUGCUAUUUACUGCUUUAUUAAGUACCGCAUCGUAUUUUAAUAUUAUAAAUGUUUGUGAACUGUUUUUACGGAUUAUGGAUCUGGAUUGAAACGAGCUACUCGAUAGACUUGUAUCGAGACUGUGUGCACCGGUAAGUACUCUGGGAAACGACAGACUAAAGUCUUGCUUACGCUGGUAUAUUUAUAUGACGAGGAUUUGUUCCCGUCCACUCUGGGUUUAUCGGUAUGCUAUGUCAUACUUACGCUGAGAUCAUUUCAAUACUGUUUUCCAUAAUCAUAUAUAUUAUAUUAGUAUAAAAAUAUUUUGAUUUAAGGGUUUUAAACUUAAUAAAUGUAAAUAGUAUUGCGAACUCAUCUCAGUAUAUCUGACCCCGUUGUUUUCCCAAAUUUUCCAGGUUUGUGAUUUGAAAGUUGGUCCACUCCGAUUCUUUUGAUUCCUCGGAGGUUUUUAUGUUAUUUAACUAGUUUCUGUUUUCAAACUCUUAGACCGCAGUAGAACUAGUUUAUAUAUUGCAUUUGUUAUUGCAUUGGGAUUGUCGAUUAGACCGAUUAUUUAUUAUUGGCAUAUUUACACUGGAAUAUUUUAUUAUUA